This 1252-nucleotide ribosomal RNA is filed under the name metagenome. RNAcentral's name for it is "bacterial SSU rRNA". It matches the Rfam family "Bacterial small subunit ribosomal RNA", at positions 243 to 1520 of the family's 1533-position model. The record is from RNAcentral.
AGCUAGUUGGUGAGGUAACGGCCCACCAAGGCGACGAUCGGUAGCCGGACUGAGAGGUUGAACGGCCACAUUGGGACUGAGACACGGCCCAGACUCCUACGGGAGGCAGCAGUGGGGAAUAUUGCACAAUGGGGGAAACCCUGAUGCAGCGACGCCGCGUGGAGGAAGAAGGUCUUCGGAUUGUAAACUCCUGUUGUUGAGGAAGAUAAUGACGGUACUCAACAAGGAAGUGACGGCUAACUACGUGCCAGCAGCCGCGGUAAAACGUAGGUCACAAGCGUUGUCCGGAAUUACUGGGUGUAAAGGGAGCGCAGGCGGGAAGACAAGUUGGAAGUGAAAUCCAUGGGCUCAACCCAUGAACUGCUUUCAAAACUGUUUUUCUUGAGUAGUGCAGAGGUAGGCGGAAUUCCCGGUGUAGCGGUGGAAUGCGUAGAUAUCGGGAGGAACACCAGUGGCGAAGGCGGCCUACUGGGCACCAACUGACGCUGAGGCUCGAAAGUGUGGGUAGCAAACAGGAUUAGAUACCCUGGUAGUCCACACUGUAAACGAUGAUUACUAGGUGUUGGAGGAUUGACCCCUUCAGUGCCGCAGUUAACACAAUAAGUAAUCCACCUGGGGAGUACGACCGCAAGGUUGAAACUCAAAGGAAUUGACGGGGGCCCGCACAAGCAGUGGAGUAUGUGGUUUAAUUCGACGCAACGCGAAGAACCUUACCAAGUCUUGACAUCCUGCGACGCACAUAGAAAUAUGUGUUUCCUUCGGGACGCAGAGACAAGUGGUGCAUGGUUGUCGUCAGCUCGUGUCGUGAGAUGUUGGGUUAAGUCCCGCAACGAGCGCAACCCUUAUGGUCAGUUACUACGCAAGAGGACUCUGGCCAGACUGCCGUUGACAAAACGGAGGAAGGUGGGGAUGACGUCAAAUCAUCAUGCCCUUUAUGACUUGGGCUACACACGUACUACAAUGGCGUUAAACAAAGAGAAGCAAGACCGCGAGGUGGAGCAAAACUCAGAAACAACGUCCCAGUUCGGACUGCAGGCUGCAACUCGCCUGCACGAAGUCGGAAUUGCUAGUAAUCGCAGAUCAGCAUGCUGCGGUGAAUACGUUCCCGGGCCUUGUACACACCGCCCGUCACACCAUGAGAGCCGGGGGGACCCGAAGUCGGUAGUCUAACCGCAAGGAGGACGCCGCCGAAGGUAAAACUGGUGAUUGGGGUGAAGUCGUAACAAGGUAGCCGUAGGAGAACCUGCGGCUG